GCCGAAAUAGCUCAGUUGGCAGAGCAACGCACUCGUAACGCGUAGGUCACAGGUUCGAUCCCUGCUUUCGGCA
Molecule: transfer RNA, 73 nt
Filed under: Caudoviricetes sp.
Lineage: Duplodnaviria; Heunggongvirae; Uroviricota; Caudoviricetes
Description: tRNA-Thr
Rfam family: tRNA
About the family: Transfer RNA (tRNA) molecules are approximately 80 nucleotides in length. Their secondary structure includes four short double-helical elements and three loops (D, anti-codon, and T loops).
Source: RNAcentral